This 440-nucleotide ribosomal RNA is filed under the name uncultured bacterium. RNAcentral's name for it is "partial 16S ribosomal RNA". It matches the Rfam family "Bacterial small subunit ribosomal RNA", at positions 338 to 795 of the family's 1533-position model. The record is from RNAcentral.
CCUACGGGAGGCAGCAGUAGGGAAUAUUGCUCAAUGGGGGAAACCCUGAAGCAGCAACGCCGCGUGGAGGAUGAAGGUUUUCGGAUUGUAAACUCCUUUUGUUAGAGAAGAUAAUGACGGUAUCUAACGAAUAAGCACCGGCUAACUCCGUGCCAGCAGCCGCGGUAAUACGGAGGGUGCAAGCGUUACUCGGAAUCACUGGGCGUAAGGAGCGCGUAGGAGGGAUAGCAAGGCAGAUGUGAAAUCCUAUGGCUUAACCAGAGAACUGCAUUUGAAACUGUUAUUCUAGAGUAUGGGAGAGGUAGGUGGAAUUCUUGGUGUAGGGGUAAAAUCCGUAGAGAUCAAGAGGAAUACUCAUUGCGAAGGCGACCUGCUAGAACAUAACUGACGCUGAUGCGCGAAAGCGUGGGGAGCAAACAGGAUUAGAUACCCCUGUAGUC